GACGAACGCUGGCGGCGUGCCUAAUACAUGCAAGUUGAGCGCUGAAGGUUGGUACUUGUACCAACUGGAUGAGCAGCGAACGGGUGAGUAACGCGUGGGGAAUCUGCCUUUGAGCGGGGGACAACAUUUGGAAACGAAUGCUAAUACCGCAUAAAAACUUUAAACACAAGUUUUAAGUUUGAAAGAUGCAAUUGCAUCACUCAAAGAUGAUCCCGCGUUGUAUUAGCUAGUUGGUGAGGUAAAGGCUCACCAAGGCGAUGAUACAUAGCCGACCUGAGAGGGUGAUCGGCCACAUUGGGACUGAGACACGGCCCAAACUCCUACGGGAGGCAGCAGUAGGGAAUCUUCGGCAAUGGAGGAAAGUCUGACCGAGCAACGCCGCGUGAGUGAAGAAGGUUUUCGGAUCGUAAAACUCUGUUGGUAGAGAAGAACGUUGGUGAGAGUGGAAAGCGCAUCAAGUGACGGUAACUACCCAGAAAGGGACGGCUAACUACGUG
RNAcentral lists this ribosomal RNA (497 nucleotides) under uncultured bacterium. RNAcentral describes it as "partial 16S ribosomal RNA". It matches the Rfam family "Bacterial small subunit ribosomal RNA", at positions 28 to 507 of the family's 1533-position model. The record is from RNAcentral.